UAGGAAGAGCAAUAAAGUUCAAAUUUGAGAUAUCUAAAAGUGACUUUGUUAGUCCACAACAAUGGAAUCCUAAAGAACACUUCUCUGUCAUGAUACAAUUUAAGAAGAAAUUUAUACUACCUACUCGCCCCACCCCAGCUACAAACUGAAUUUGGGAAAUAAUACUUUCACACCAGUUUUAAAAGUUUAUAAAUCUUCAUAAAAUUAUCUUUUCCAAUUCUAUACUUUCUGUAGUGAGUGAUAGUCAGUGUGUCUUCCAAUAUUCCAGUGGGAAUCAUUGUUAAUAACAGCAGAUUUUGUUAUUUUUUAUGCCCAUUCUAAUCACAUAACAUUGGGUAUUUACAUUGAUGAUAUUAGGCAAUUGUCCAGUGCAGCCUUUAUUAAGCUUUGUAUUGUAAAUACAACUACAUUUUAGUUUAACACAGUGUUGGAACCAAGAAGGCUUGUCCCCAC
Molecule: long non-coding RNA, 453 nt
Filed under: Homo sapiens (human)
Lineage: Eukaryota; Metazoa; Chordata; Mammalia; Primates; Hominidae
Description: non-protein coding lnc-FH-2:1
Source: RNAcentral